This 668-nucleotide ribosomal RNA is filed under the name Planctomycetota bacterium. RNAcentral describes it as "bacterial SSU rRNA". It matches the Rfam family "Bacterial small subunit ribosomal RNA", at positions 1 to 647 of the family's 1533-position model. Lineage: Bacteria; Pseudomonadati; Planctomycetota. The record is from RNAcentral.
UAAUUGAAGGGUUUGAUCCUGGCUCAGAACGAACGCUGGCGGCGUGGGUGAUACAUGCAAGUCGAACGGGAAACAAGGCUUCGGCCUUGGAGGACAGUGGCGGACGGGUGAGUAACAUAUGAUCAAUCUGCCCGGAAGACUAGGAUAGCCGCCCGAAAGGGCGGGUAAUACUGGAUAAGCCCACGGUGAGGCAUCUCUUUGUGGGAAAAGGAUUGGGAUCUUCGGACCUUUCGCUUUCGGAUGAGAUUAUAUCCUAUCAGCUUGUUGGUGAGGUAACGGCUCACCAAGGCGACGACGGGUAGCCGGCCUGAGAGGGUGGACGGCCACACUGGAACUGAGACACGGUCCAGACUCCUACGGGAGGCAGCAGUGCUGAAUUAUUCGCCAAUGCGCGAAAGCGUGACGGUGCGACGCCGCGUGAGGGACGAAGGCCUUCGGGUUGUAAACCUCUGUCAGGGCAUAGAAAACCAAUUCGGUUAACAGCCGGGUUGUUGAUCAUGCCCAAAGGAAGCACAGGCUAAUUUCGUGCCAGCAGCCGCGGUAAUACGAAAUGUGCGAGCGUUGUUCGGAAUCACUGGGCAUAAAGGGUGCGUAGGCGGUUCGCCAAGUCGGGUGUGAAAUCCCUUCGCUCAACGGAGGAACUGCAUUCGAUACUAGCGGGCUAGAGG